Molecule: ribosomal RNA, 705 nt
Filed under: Escherichia coli
Lineage: Bacteria; Pseudomonadati; Pseudomonadota; Gammaproteobacteria; Enterobacterales; Enterobacteriaceae
Description: partial 23S ribosomal RNA
Rfam family: Bacterial large subunit ribosomal RNA
Source: RNAcentral
GAUGUUCUAACGUUGGCCCCUAAUCGGGGUUGCGGACAGUGUCUGGUGGGUAGUUUGACUGGGGCGGUCUCCUCCUAAAGAGUAACGGAGGAGCACGAAGGUUGGCUAAUCCUGGUCGGACAUCAGGAGGUUAGUGCAAUGGCAUAAGCCAGCUUGACUGCGAGCGUGACGGCGCGAGCAGGUGCGAAAGCAGGUCAUAGUGAUCCGGUGGUUCUGAAUGGAAGGGCCAUCGCUCAACGGAUAAAAGGUACUCCGGGGAUAACAGGCUGAUACCGCCCAAGAGUUCAUAUCGACGGCGGUGUUUGGCACCUCGAUGUCGGCUCAUCACAUCCUGGGGCUGAAGUAGGUCCCAAGGGUAUGGCUGUUCGCCAUUUAAAGUGGUACGCGAGCUGGGUUUAGAACGUCGUGAGACAGUUCGGUCCCUAUCUGCCGUGGGCGCUGGAGAACUGAGGGGGGCUGCUCCUAGUACGAGAGGACCGGAGUGGACGCAUCACUGGUGUUCGGGUUGUCAUGCCAAUGGCACUGCCCGGUAGCUAAAUGCGGAAGAGAUAAGUGCUGAAAGCAUCUAAGCACGAAACUUGCCCCGAGAUGAGUUCUCCCUGACUCCCUGAGAGUCCUGAAGGAACGUUGAAGACGACGACGUUGAUAGGCCGGGUGUGUAAGCGCAGCGAUGCGUUGAGCUAACCGGUACUAAUGAACCGUGAG